AAAUAUUACAUAACUAAUUAUGGUGGUGAUCCAACACUUUUGUAAAGUAUUUAAAUGCUCUUUUGUGAAUAUAAUAGUGACUAAAAAUAAUUGUUAAAUGCCUUUCCUAAUUUAAAAUGUUAAACUAUUUUUAUUAUGUGUGAAACUUUUUGUGGCUGUGGGUUAUUUUGUAAAUCGAUUUAUAGAGCCAGUCAUAUGUUUUAGUAAAGCUGUUUUUGCUUACUAAAAUAAUAUAAACAGAGUGUAAUAAAAAGAAAGAAAACCAAAACGAAACAAAAAAAAAGAACCGGCCUACCCCAAGGCUUUGGCCCACUAAACCAUCAGGCCGGCCCACCCUCACCGAACCCUCCUCUAUCUCCUAUUCACGCGACCGGGUCGCUACAGGGGCUUGGUCGCCGCCGCACCCUCUCGCCGACAGCGCCGGGAGGGGAUAAGGGCGCCACGCCCUGACCCCUCGAUCCCAUCUCCCCACUCACCCACUCCACGAUCCUCCCCCGCCUGCUCCACCUCCCUCUCCAGAUGCGCCAUCGACGAGCGUUGUUGUCUCCACCACCGUCGACCACCGCGGCGUCCGUCGUCGUCGUCCCUCUCCUAGGCAUCCAGGGACCCCAUCGUCCAUGAAUUCAUCAACUACACCGAGCCGACGAGCCGGGGAGCAGCCACCAAGCCGCCUGCUUCUUCUUCUUCCCCGUCGGUCACCAUGAACUUGCCGUCGACCUUCCUCACCUUCGGCCACAGCUGCAGCUACUAAUCUUUCACCGGCCUCCGUGAGCCGCCCGGUGAGCUCAGUCCCCUCCCCCUGGCCUCGGCCAUCUCCACGGCACCCGACCCGCGCUCACUCCGUCCAGUCAAUGCCCUGACUCUGCUCGCGCCUGCACCCCUGACUCUGCUCGCCCUGCCGUGGCCUCACGCACACUCACCUAUGCGUCGCCGCGCCCCUACUGUUCCAUGCCGUGCGAGCUCCGGCCGAGCUCGCGGACAGCCCGACCGCCGGCACGCGCGUAUCCGUCCCGCUACUGCUGCUUGCUGCCUCACUACGACCCGCGCACGUUCGCCGCUCGCCUCCUGGUGCCCCCCGGUCGUGCACUCGCGCCUGUGCCNNNNNNNNNNNNNNNNNNNNNNNNNNNNNNNNNNNNNNNNNNNNNNNNNNNNNNNNNNNNNNNNNNNNNNNNNNNNNNNNNNNNNNNNNNNNNNNNNNNNNNNNNNNNNNNNNNNNNNNNNNNNNNNNNNNNNNNNNNNNNNNNNNNNNNNNNNNNNNNNNNNNNNNNNNNNNNNNNNNNNNNNNNNNNNNNNNNNNNNNNNNNNNNNNNNNNNNNNNNNNNNNNNNNNNNNNNNNNNNNNNNNUGACCUGCCGUGGCCUUGCCUCCGCCGGUCGCGCCCGCAUGCAUGCUUCAGCGCUGCUGCUUGCCACUCCAGUGCAUGCGUGCCUAGCCAUGAAUCGUUGGCUUGCUACUGCCCAGCAUGGCCGACCUAUUUAGAUUAGAGCUAGAUCAGUUUAGGGAUCAAUUAGUGGCUAGCUUAGCCUAUGUACAAAUGACAUACGGGUCCCAUGUAAUUAACAGUCUAAAUAAAUCCCUAAAUACAACCACUGCCGCUGCUUACUGUACUUGUAGCUACUGUAGCUACUAGCUAGCUUUUGUAUUUCUACAAUGAGUAACCCCCUAGACAGCCCCUAAACUGCGGUUAAACAGUUGUUAACAUGAGUGAAAAUAAUAUGAGUAGAAUGCGUACAUGACAAACUCCAUUUUAUCCCACUGAACCAAAUCCUUGUGAUGUAUGGAUUAAUUCCUACAAAAAUCACAAAGUUCAAUGUUCUGUUAAUAGAAGAACUGAAAACAGCUUUAUUUUCAUAGGUACUUUAGUGCUGUUGAUGAUCAAGCAAAUGAACUCCAAUAUAGAUGUAAUUGGCACUAACAUGUAGAUCACAGAAAAUGCUCAAAAUUGAUAUAAGGCCCAAAAUUAUAGGAGGUACAGAUCCAUAGUUGUAGCAUCCAGAAAACAGCUAAGUGAUGUUCAAAAACUGAACAAUUCUCAGACUUAGCCAAUUUUCAGGAAUUCCAUAAUAUUGUUUAAACUUCGAAAAAUCAUAGAAAAUAAUCCGUAGCUCGGAUGAAAAUACUUUGUACAUGAAAGUUGCUUAGAACGACGAGAUGAAUCCGAAUCCGCGGUCCGUUUGUCAUCCACACGUCCCUAGCAUAGCGAACACGUAACUUUUCCCCUUCGGUUCAUCUGUCCGAAAACGCGAAACUCCGGGGAUACUUUCCCGGAUGUUUUCCCCCUUCACCGGUAUCACCUACUACUGUGUUAGGUCACCCUAGUACCGUGUGUGCCAUAUCUUGCUUUGUGAUGCUUUGAUUGCUCUGUUAUUUAUUGUGUUCCCGUCCAUACUUCUUUCCGGUAGACUCCGAGACCGCUGCCGAUGUCCGUGUGUUCGACUACAUCGAAGAUGGCCCCUCUCUCUUGCCAGAGCAACCAGGCAAGCCCCCCCUUUGAUCACCAGAUAUCGCCUACUCUUCUCUAUACUGCUUGCAUUAGAGUAGUGUAGCAUGUUACUGCUUUCGUUAUUCCUAUCCUGAGGCAUAGCCUGUCCUUGCUACUACUGUUGUUACCAUUACCUGUUAUCCUACUGCUUAGUAUAGGAUGCUAGUGUUCCAUCAGUGGCCCUACACUCUUGUCCGUCUGCCAUGCUAUACUACUGGGCCGUGAUCACUUCGGGAGGUGAUCACGGGCAUAUACUAUAUACUUUACACAGUUACAUUACCUGUGGUACUGUCCGGAGUUGGGGGCUGAAGGGGCAGGUGGCUCCAUCCCGGUAGAGGUGGGCCUGGGUUCCCGACGGCCCCCGACUGUUACUUUGUGGCGGAGCGACAGGGCAGGUUGAGACCAUCUAGGAGAGAUUGGGCCUGGCCCUGGUCGGUGUUCGCGGAUACUUAACACGUUUAACGAGAUCUUGGUAUUUGAUCUGAGUCUGGCUACUGGCCUAUACGCACUAACCAUCUACGCGGGGACAGUUAUGGUCACUCGACGUCGUGGUAUCAGCCGAAGCCUUCGUGAUGUCAGCGACUGAGUGGCGCGCGCCGGAUUGGACCGUAAGCCUGCUCUUGUAUUAAGGGGGCUAGUUCUGCUUCCGGCCGCGUACGCAACGUGCAGGUGUGCAAUGGGUGAUGGGCCCAGACCCCUGCGCCAUAGGAUUUAGACCGGCGUGCUGACCUCUCUGUUGUGCCUAGGUAGGGUUGUGACGUGUUGAUCUUCCGAGGCCGGGCAUGACCCAGGAAAGUGUGUCCGGCCAAAUGGGAUCAAGCGUGUUGGGAUAUGUGGUGCACCCCUGCAGGGAAGUUAAUCUAUUCGAAUAGCCGUGAUCUUCGGUAACAGGACGACUUGGAGUUGUACCUUGACCUUAUGACAACUAGAACCGGAUACUUAAUAAAACACACCCUUCCAAGUGCUAGAUACAACCGGUGGUCGCUCUCUCACAGGGCGAAGAGGGGAGGAUCAUCGGUUAGGGUUAUGCUAUGCGAUGCUACUUGGAGGACUUCAGUCUACUCUCUUCUACAUGCUGCAGGACGGAGGCUGCCAGAAGCGUAGUCUUCGACAGGAUUAGCUAUCCCCUCUUAUUCUGGCAUUCUGCAGUUCAGUCCACCGAUAUGGCCUUUACACAUAUACCCAUGCAUAUGUAGUGUAGCUCCUUGCUUGCGAGUACUUUGGAUGAGUACUCACGGUUGCUUCUCCUUCUUUUCCCUCUAUCCCUUCUACCUAGUUGUCGCAACCAGAUGUUGGAGCCCAGGAUCCAGACGCCACCGUCGAUGACGACUCCUACUACAUCGGAGGUGCCUACUACUAUGUGCUGCCCGCUGACGACGACCAGGAGUAGUUAGGAGGAUCCCAGGCAGGAGGCCUGCGCCUCUCUCGAUCUGUAUCCCAGUUUGUGCUAGCCUUCUUAAGGCAGACUUGUUUAACUUAUGUCUGUACUCAGAUAUUGUUGCUUUCGCUGACUCGUCUAUGAUCGAGCUCUUGUAUUCGAGCCCUCGAGGCCCCUGGCUUGUAAUAUGAUGCUUGUAUGACUUAUUUUAUUUGUAGAGUUGUGUUGUGAUAUCUUCCCGUGAGUCCCUGAUCUUGAUCGUACACGUUUGCGUGUAUGAUUAGUGUACAAUUGAAUCGGGGGCGUCACAAGUUGGUAUCAGAGCCGACUGCCUGUAGGAAUCCCCCUUCCACACUCCUUGGCCGAAGUUGAGUCUAGACAUUUCAAAUUUUUUUACUAACAUGGUUGUGUGCCUUAUGGGCCCACGUCGCCAUCUGGGUGGUAUUAGGAUCUUUUACUCUUCGAUCCUUACUCUGGGACUCUGAACUCUCUUCUACUCGGGUUAAAUGAUUUUUCUAAAAUCUAACUUUAGUUUCUUGAAAAUACUUCUCCCGGAGAGCCCCUUCACUCCAGAUGAUCGCCUACUACAUCAGAGGAUUCAGAAGAUACUCUCCGAAGUUAUCCCGAGAAUGCGUGCUCAUUGCGUUUGCAAUUACCUUCCACUGUCAACCCCUAUAGAUAGCUACAUGCACUUGUCAUUCGUACUUUUAUUUCCAGUUGAUCUUGUUAUUACAAGAUACCCCGAAAUUCUCUAUUGUUCCGAGAAUACUUCGUGCCACUGCCUUGCAGUUCUUUGCCACCUGAAUACCCAUACGGAUAGUUUCUCGCACUUAUUGAGUAUUCGCUCAUCCAUAGUUGUUUCAAGUAUUUCACAUCAGUCUUCGAAAUACCAUUCAAUCUUCAGAAAAUCCUCAACAGCCCGUUGUUCUUGAAAUUCGUGCUCGCUUGCAUUAUGGUUAAUUUCAUAAGUCUAGUAAUCUUAUUGGCAUCCUUUGACACUAUCAUUUUGAGUACGUUGAUUCGACAAGUUGCGAAGGCUCGCAAUCCUCAAUCGGGUCCUAGAAUUCAUCCUUCCAGCUCAGACGUCAUUUUAAACAUGGGCUGCUUCUCAACCAAUCAAAUCGCCAUCGAUUGUACCCCUAAGCCUGCUCAGCUUAUCCAUCCUUAAUCAGAGCGUUUGCUUCUGAUCCCUUCAUUUGGAAAUCAUAAUUCCUUUGUAUUUGAGCUAUGAGUUAGUCAGAUGUUUCUAUAAUCCGAUAUCCUUGCAUUCUUCUUCCUGUAGUUGAGUACCGAUGCUCACAUCAGAUCCCUUGUGGACCACCAGAUCCUUUGUUGCAUUUUAUCCGACAGCGUCCUUCAUAUUCAAUAAGUCUGUGAGCUUUUCCUCGGAUACAUAAUGCCUUUGGUAAAUUGUAUCCUCUGCAUUCUCAAGCAUGCUCUACUAUCGAGCUUGUGUUAUUAUUCUUAAAUUUGUGGUAUAUACUCCUAAGAUGCCCCGAUGGGUUGAACCUAUGCCUUCCCCAAAUGGUAUGAACCCGAAAGUUUUCACGAGUCAUACUCUUCUGUUGUUUCCCUAGAUAAAAUUUCUACACUACAGCCUCAUCAAAUGCGAGAAGUAAAAUGAAAGGUUAUGCAUUGAAGAAGUGGGAGUCGACCUUGAGCCUUUGCGUUCAUGCCCAUGGACCCGAUGUGGAACUUUUCAUCGAAGCUUCUUGUAAAUGAUAAUAAUCCCCUUGUUAUAAGUUCGUCCUGUAUCUAUGUUUGGUCCUUUGCAAUCAUGGUUCCGACCAUAUUUUCUCCUUAAUACCAUUUCUCGGACAAGUUGAAGUACUUGUCUUGUGCAGAUCAUUGCACCUGUCCAACCUUUACUUUGAUGUACUGUCGAUUAUUACACUAUGAUAUCUUGAUAAUGUCAUGGAACUACAUAACUUCUUAUGGGUUCUUCAUUAACUGUUAUUUCUCACCGAUUCCAAUUUUUCUAGGUUUUGGGUUGUCGUCAACCGAGAACACCGAUAUGUGAACCGAUUCCGCAUUCCGGUUCGAUAACCCUAAUUAAUUUUCGUUGCUUAUGAGUUUAAUAAUCCUUAAAGUCAUUCCUAGCCUGAUCGGCUAUACCAUUAUUGGGCUAAUUUUUAACUGUGCUACCUGGUCCUUCUUCAUGGAGCACAAAUUUUGAAAGUGAGCUAAUCUUACGUCGAUCUUCCUCGUCAUAUCAUUUCUCCCUGAACAGCAAACUUGAUUUCGAGUUUGUGUCAUACCCAUGGUUCCAAUAACCUUUCGCUUCAUCAUUCCUUUGACUUGAUGUCAUCGCCGAUCGAUUACAUCUUCGUGGAGCCUCUCGACUAAAUUUGUCGUGGUCAUCAAACAACAUUUUGAUUCCUUCCAGAAUAUCAACCAAAUGGAUGAUGACAGGUAACCAUCCUUGUCCCUCGAUGAUUUGUGUUAUCACCGACAACAUUAUUGCCUUCCCUCCAACACAAACUUGUUCGUGUUUUGUGUUAUACCUGGAGACCCGUGCUAUCCAACAAUUAUUCUUCGAUACCUUGGAGUAUUACCAUCUUUUAUGUCAAGAAUGUCAUGAGAAUUUCAACACCUCCUAAGAAUUCUUGAUACAGGUAAUACUUAUCACCAUCACCAUUCUUUCUUGGUCCCCGUGUUGGAUCUAACCGGGAUACCAACAGGUGAACGGUGCUGUUUGGAUUAUUGCCUUCUAGCAACCCUAUUGCUUUGAAGUUAAUGGUCGAACGUUCAUUCUUAGACUAUUGAUCACUGAAUCACCAUUCUAACAUUUGAUCAUGCUACCUAAGGCCCUACUUUGGGCACCCUUUUCCACUAAUGUUAAAUUGUGUAUGUUUUUCCUUGAGCAUACAUCAUUAUAUCAUUUGAUCCGGAAAAUGUUAUCUCCUUGUUCACAUAACUGUGGAAAUCCAUCUUUUUGGAUACCUCGUUGUAUUAUCGCUGAGUCCAUCAGCCACCUCCUCAUCCUCUCCUUGGCUUAAUGAUGAAUCCCUUCGUGUAUCCAGAGUCUGACCUUUGAUUGAAGACCAUGCAAUGCUAUAUCGAAGCAUGUCUGUGGUACUCUGAUUUUCAGCAAGAACAUUUGAAGCCCCAUGCUAAAUGUUUCUUGCUCUAUUGUCCAAACACUGUUGUAUGGUUAAUGUCAUGAAAUUUUUCUCCCCUUACCUAAAAAGUUUUCUACAUUAUAUCAUGUCAUGGAUAAUAUGUUCUGCUUGUCCUUGGGAAGAAUAUACCCUUGAAAUAUGUGUUUAAACACAUUUUCCUUUCCAUUGUUCUGUUUAAACCUAAUAAUCACUUUUCCUUUCCAUUGGUUUGUUUAAACCUUCUUGUGAUCUAUACUGUAUAAGCAGGUGUACAAUUCUGUCAGCGAGACCCUGUUACUAUUGUUGAUGACAUUCUGGUAGCCACUGAUGAACGAGAACUUUGCCUAUUGGUCCGCCUCAUUCAACGAGCAGGAAAAUGGUUCUCUUCGUCCCUCGCCCUUGGUACCUACGUUGUUGCCGACAUAAUCGACAGGCCACCCUCUGACAUACCUUGCUUGCAUGAUCACGCAAGAUGUCUCCGCCCUUCCUACUUUUAACCCACAUGGUGGGCCCAUAACCCACAGUUCCACAGGAUCGAAACCUGACUCUCCUGUACAACCCUAUUUCUAAUGUUUAUUCCCCACGCUUGGCUUCAUAUUUAAUUCAUGGGCCACCUUCCUAGUGCUCUAUUCUGGUGUUAGACGCAAUACUUACUCUCGCUGCUCUGAGCCCCUGUCUCACUCUGGUUCAAACUUCGAGCAACCAUCUAUCCUCUUGGAACCUCUUAUGGUACCUUCGUACCUUACUCUCGAUGUAUUUUAUAUGUUCAACUCGAGAGAUAAUCUUAUGCUCAUUCAUAGGUUAAACCCAAAUGGUUUCCCUCAUAAACAUUCUGUCGUAGCUGAGCUGCCCCUUACCUAUUCGUAAGUACGUUGGAGUGCCCGAAGAAAAGGACGACUUCACCAUAAUAACCUGAAGCAGAGAAAUGAAGACAUAAACGUAAUGGAUCGACCUCUUCAAGAAGAGCAACCAAGAUUGAGGACACUCGUUAGAUUUUCGUAAUCCAAUCCCGUCCCCCUCCCUUCCCCUGUUAAAUCUCAGGACGAGAUUUCUUGUAGUGGAGGAGAAUUGUGACGCCCGGAUCAUUAAGCUAUAGUAAUCCCCCGUUAAUGGUGCCAUGUCAUCACAUUACUGUUGCCAAUCCUUGUUUGAUCCAACUCUUAGUUCAAACUCAAAUUCAAAUUAAAGCUUAAUAUUCAAAUUUCCCGACCAUGCAAAAUAAAAUGUUCAAAGUGUGAGAAAUAUUACAUAACUAAUUAUGGUGGUGAUCCAACACUUUUGUAAAGUAUUUAAAUGCUCUUUUGUGAAUAUAACAGUGACUAAAAAUAAUUGUUAAAUGCCUUUCCUAAUUUAAAAUGUUAAACUAUUUUUAUUAUGUGUGAAACUUUUUGUGGCUGUGGGUUAUUUUGUAAAUCGAUUUAUAGAGCCAGUCAUAUGUUUUAGUAAAGCUGUUUUUGCCUACUAAAAUAAUAUAAACAGAGUGUAAUAAAAAGAAAGAAAACCAAAAC
Molecule: long non-coding RNA, 8468 nt
Filed under: Triticum aestivum (bread wheat)
Lineage: Eukaryota; Viridiplantae; Streptophyta; Magnoliopsida; Poales; Poaceae
Description: long non-coding RNA (TAES_LNC020801)
Source: RNAcentral